CCUAACACAUGCAAGGUCGAGGGGCAUCAUGGCGUAGCAAUACGCUGAUGGCGACCGGCGCACGGGUGAGUAACGCGUAUGCAACCUGCCUAUAACUGGGGAAUAGCUCCCUGAAAGGGGAAUUAACACCGCAUAACACUAUUGAUUCGCAUGGAUUGGUAGUUAAAUGUAGCGAUACAGGUUAUAGAUGGGCAUGCGUGACAUUAGCUAGUUGGUGAGGUAACGGCUCACCAAGGCUACGAUGUCUAGGGGUUCUGAGAGGAAGGUCCCCCACACUGGUACUGAGACACGGACCAGACUCCUACGGGAGGCAGCAGUGAGGAAUAUUGGUCAAUGGGCGCAAGCCUGAACCAGCCAUGUCGCGUGCAGGAAGACUGCCCUAUGGGUUGUAAACUGCUUUUAUAGUAGAAGAAACACAUCUACGUGUAGAUGUCUGCCAGUAUACUAUGAAUAAGCAUCGGCUAACUCCGUG
This 472-nucleotide ribosomal RNA is filed under the name uncultured bacterium. RNAcentral describes it as "bacterial SSU rRNA". It matches the Rfam family "Bacterial small subunit ribosomal RNA", at positions 47 to 507 of the family's 1533-position model. The record is from RNAcentral.